CGAACGAACUCUGGUAUUGAUUGGUGCUUGCAUCAUGAUUUACAUUUGAGUGAGUGGCGAACUGGUGAGUAACACGUGGGAAACCUGCCCAGAAGCGGGGGAUAACACCUGGAAACAGAUGCUAAUACCGCAUAACAACUUGGACCGCAUGGUCCGAGUUUGAAAGAUGGCUUCGGCUAUCACUUUUGGAUGGUCCCGCGGCGUAUUAGCUAGAUGGUGAGGUAACGGCUCACCAUGGCAAUGAUACGUAGCCGACCUGAGAGGGUAAUCGGCCACAUUGGGACUGAGACACGGCCCAAACUCCUACGGGAGGCAGCAGUAGGGAAUCUUCCACAAUGGACGAAAGUCUGAUGGAGCAACGCCGCGUGAGUGAAGAAGGGUUUCGGCUCGUAAAACUCUGUUGUUAAAGAAGAACAUAUCUGAGAGUAACUGUUCAGGUAUUGACGGUAUUUAACCAGAAAGCCACGGCUAACUACGUGCCAGCAGCCGCGGUAAUACGUAGGUGGCAAGCGUUGUCCGGAUUUAUUGGGCGUAAAGCGAGCGCAGGCGGUUUUUUAAGUCUGAUGUGAAAGCCUUCGGCUCAACCGAAGAAGUGCAUCGGAAACUGGGAAACUUGAGUGCAGAAGAGGACAGUGGAACUCCAUGUGUAGCGGUGAAAUGCGUAGAUAUAUGGAAGAACACCAGUGGCGAAGGCGGCUGUCUGGUCUGUAACUGACGCUGAGGCUCGAAAGUAUGGGUAGCAAACAGGAUUAGAUACCCUGGUAGUCCAUACCGUAAACGAUGAAUGCUAAGUGUUGGAGGGUUUCCGCCCUUCAGUGCUGCAGCUAACGCAUUAAGCAUUCCGCCUGGGGAGUACGGCCGCAAGGCUGAAACUCAAAGGAAUUGACGGGGGCCCGCACAAGCGGUGGAGCAUGUGGUUUAAUUCGAAGCUACGCGAAGAACCUUACCAGGUCUUGACAUACUAUGCAAAUCUAAGAGAUUAGACGUUCCCUUCGGGGACAUGGAUACAGGUGGUGCAUGGUUGUCGUCAGCUCGUGUCGUGAGAUGUUGGGUUAAGUCCCGCAACGAGCGCAACCCUUAUUAUCAGUUGCCAGCAUUAAGUUGGGCACUCUGGUGAGACUGCCGGUGACAAACCGGAGGAAGGUGGGGAUGACGUCAAAUCAUCAUGCCCCUUAUGACCUGGGCUACACACGUGCUACAAUGGAUGGUACAACGAGUUGCGAACUCGCGAGAGUAAGCUAAUCUCUUAAAGCCAUUCUCAGUUCGGAUUGUAGGCUGCAACUCGCCUACAUGAAGUCGGAAUCGCUAGUAAUCGCGGAUCAGCAUGCCGCGGUGAAUACGUUCCCGGGCCUUGUACACACCGCCCGUCACACCAUGAGAGUUUGUAACACCCAAAGUCGGUGGGGUAACCUUUUA
Molecule: ribosomal RNA, 1416 nt
Filed under: Lactiplantibacillus pentosus
Lineage: Bacteria; Bacillati; Bacillota; Bacilli; Lactobacillales; Lactobacillaceae
Description: bacterial SSU rRNA
Rfam family: Bacterial small subunit ribosomal RNA
Source: RNAcentral